RNAcentral lists this ribosomal RNA (468 nucleotides) under uncultured bacterium. RNAcentral's name for it is "partial 16S ribosomal RNA". It matches the Rfam family "Bacterial small subunit ribosomal RNA", at positions 28 to 507 of the family's 1533-position model. The record is from RNAcentral.
GACGAACGCUGGCGGCGUGCUUAACACAUGCAAGUCGAACGGAAAGGCCCUGCUUUUGUGGGGGGCUCGAGUGGCGAACGGGUGAGUAAAACGUGAGUAACCUGCCCUUGACUUUGGGAUAACUUCAGGAAACUGGGGCUAAUAACGGAUAGUAGCUCCUGCUGCAUGGUGGGGGUUGGAAAGUUUCGGCGGUUGGGGAUGGACUGGGGGCUUAUCAGCUUGUUGGUGGGGUGGUGGCUUACCAAGGCUUUGACGGGUAGCCGGCCUGAGAGGGUGAGCGGCCACAUUGGGACUGAGAUACGGCCCAGACUCCGAGGGGAGGCAGCAGUGGGGAAUAUUGCACAAUGGGCGGAAGCCUGAUGCAGCAACGCCGCGUGCGGGAUGACGGCCUUCGGGUUGUAAACCGCUUUCGCCUGUGACGAAGCGGGAGUGACGGUAAUGGGUAAAGAAGCACCGGCUAACUACGUG